UAACAAGGAUUCCCCUAGUAACUGCGAGUGAAGCGGGAAGAGCUCAAAUUUAAAAUCUGGCGGUCUUUGGCCGUCCGAGUUGUAGUCUGGAGAAGUGCUUUCCGCGCCGGACCGUGUACAAGUCUCUUGGAACAGAGCGUCAUAGAGGGUGAGAAUCCCGUCUUUGACACGGACUGCCGGUGCUUUGUGAUGCGCUCUCAAAGAGUCGAGUUGUUUGGGAAUGCAGCUCAAAAUGGGUGGUGAAUUCCAUCUAAAGCUAAAUAUUGGCGAGAGACCGAUAGCGAACAAGUACCGUGAGGGAAAGAUGAAAAGCACUUUGGAAAGAGAGUUAAACAGUACGUGAAAUUGCUGAAAGGGAAACGCUUGAAGUCAGUCGCGUCCGCCGGAACUCAGCCUUGCCUCGGCUUGGUGCACUUUUCGGCGGACGGGCCAGCAUCGAUUUUGACCGUCGGAAAAGGGCGGGAGGAAUGUGGCACCUUCGGGUGUGUUAUAGCCUCUCGUCGCAUACGUCGGUUGGGAUCGAGGAUCGCAGCGCGCCUUUAUGGUCGGGGUUCGCCCACGUUCGCGCUUAGGAUGCUGGCGUAAUGGCUUUAAACGAC
RNAcentral lists this ribosomal RNA (599 nucleotides) under Lopharia mirabilis. Its description in RNAcentral is "eukaryotic LSU rRNA". It matches the Rfam family "Eukaryotic large subunit ribosomal RNA", at positions 66 to 648 of the family's 3401-position model. The record is from RNAcentral. Lineage: Eukaryota; Fungi; Basidiomycota; Agaricomycetes; Polyporales; Polyporaceae.